GUGAGGAAUAUUGGUCAAUGGGCGGGAGCCUGAACCAGCCAAGUCGCGUGAAGGAAGAAGGAUCUAUGGUUCGUAAACUUCUUUUGCAGGGGAAUAAAGUGCAGGACGUGUCCUGUUUUGUAUGUACCCUGAGAAUAAGGAUCGGCUAACUCCGUGCCAGCAGCCGCGGUAAUACGGAGGAUCCGAGCGUUAUCCGGAUUUAUUGGGUUUAAAGGGUGCGUAGGUAGUUUGAUAAGUCAGCGGUGAAAGUUUGCAGCUUAACUGUAAAAAUGCCGUUGAAACUGUCUGACUUGAGUGUAAAUGAGGUAGGCGGAAUGCGUGGUGUAGCGGUGAAAUGCAUAGAUAUCACGCAGAACUCCGAUUGCGAAGGCAGCUUACUAAGCUACAACUGACACUGAAGCACGAAAGCGUGGGGAUCAAACAGGAUUAGAUACCCGGGUAGUCC
This 445-nucleotide ribosomal RNA is filed under the name uncultured bacterium. RNAcentral's name for it is "partial 16S ribosomal RNA". It matches the Rfam family "Bacterial small subunit ribosomal RNA", at positions 354 to 796 of the family's 1533-position model. The record is from RNAcentral.